This 252-nucleotide ribosomal RNA is filed under the name uncultured bacterium. RNAcentral's name for it is "partial 16S ribosomal RNA". It matches the Rfam family "Bacterial small subunit ribosomal RNA", at positions 524 to 776 of the family's 1533-position model. The record is from RNAcentral.
UACGCAGGGGGCAAGCGUUGUCCGGAAUUAUUGGGCGUAAAGCGCGCGCAGGCGGCUGUUUAAGUCUGGUGUUUAAGCCCGGGGCUCAACCCCGGUUCGCACUGGAAACUGGAUGGCUUGAGUGCAGAAGAGGAGAGUGGAAUUCCACGUGUAGCGGUGAAAUGCGUAGAGAUGUGGAGGAACACCAGUGGCGAAGGCGGCUUUUUGGUCUGUAACUGACGCUGAGGCGCGAAAGCGUGGGGAGCAAACAGG